GUCCCAAAAAUGAAGGAAAAGAUCAAAAUAUAACAGAACACAGUAAAAUCAAAACUACAAAAACAAUUUAUCCUUUCACUAUGUCAUAUCUGAAAUUAACCUAACUAUCAUCACCAAAAAUACAAAUUCAAAUAUCACAAAACUUUCAACCUAAUUUGAAAUAACCGCAUCUACUAACAAAUCCACAUCAAGAUUAAAGAUAAAUCAACAUUUAGAACCUAACCUGAGUCGAUUCAUCACAAAACACAUGCGAAAAUCCUUCGUAAACCUCAGAUUUCGUCCUUCGAACAUCCGUCAAGCUCUUCCUAUCACUUUAAUAAACAUAUAUCAAAGACAAGAUGGUAAUUGAACAAGGUGUUGAAAAAACACUUAUAAUGCACAAUGUACAACUUUGUUUUAAGCACAAGAAACACAUAUGUAACCUCACAGGCUCAGCUUAUGCAUCAUAGCCUUAACAGUUUCAGUUC
This 467-nucleotide long non-coding RNA is filed under the name Helianthus annuus (common sunflower). RNAcentral's name for it is "hypothetical non coding rna". Lineage: Eukaryota; Viridiplantae; Streptophyta; Magnoliopsida; Asterales; Asteraceae. The record is from RNAcentral.